This 468-nucleotide ribosomal RNA is filed under the name uncultured bacterium. RNAcentral describes it as "partial 16S ribosomal RNA". It matches the Rfam family "Bacterial small subunit ribosomal RNA", at positions 28 to 507 of the family's 1533-position model. The record is from RNAcentral.
GACGAACGCUGGCGGCGUGCUUAACACAUGCAAGUCGAACGGAAAGGCCCUGCUUUUGUGGGGUGCUCGAGUGGCGAACGGGUGAGUAACACGUGAGUAACCUGCCCUUGACUUUGGGAUAACUUCAGGAAACUGGGGCUAAUACCGGAUAGGAGCUCCUGCUGCAUGGUGGGGGUUGGAAAGUUUCGGCGGUUGGGGAUGGACUCGCGGCUUAUGAGCUUGUUGGUGGGGUAGUGGCUUACCAAGGCUUUGACGAGUAGCCGGCCUGAGAGGGUGACCGGCCACAUUGGGACUGAGAUACGGCCCAGACUCCUACGGGAGGCAGCAGUGGGGAAUAUUGCACAAUGGGCGGAAGCCUGAUGCAGCAACGCCGCGUGCGGGAUGACGGCCUUCGGGUUGUAAACCGCUUUCGCCUGUGACGAAGCGUGAGUGACGGUAAUGGGUAAAGAAGCACCGGCUAACUACGUG